GUACACUCCUACGGGAGGCAGCAGUGGGGAAUAUUGCACAAUGGGCGCAAGCCUGAUGCAGCCAUGCCGCGUGUAUGAAGAAGGCCUUCGGGUUGUAAAGUACUUUCAGCGGGGAGGAAGGCAAUACGGUUAAUAACCGUGUUGAUUGACGUUACCCGCAGAAGAAGCACCGGCUAACUCCGUGCCAGCAGCCGCGGUAAUACGGAGGGUGCAAGCGUUAAUCGGAAUUACUGGGCGUAAAGCGCACGCAGGCGGUCUGUCAAGUCGGAUGUGAAAUCCCCGGGCUCAACCUGGGAACUGCAUUCGAAACCGGCAGGCUUGAGUCUUGUAGAGGGGGGUAGAAUUCCAGGUGUAGCGGUGAAAUGCGUAGAGAUCUGGAGGAAUACCGGUGGCGAAGGCGGCCCCCUGGACAAAGACUGACGCUCAGGUGCGAAAGCGUGGGGAGCAAACAGGAUUAGAUACCCUAGUAGUCCCAUG
RNAcentral lists this ribosomal RNA (477 nucleotides) under uncultured organism. RNAcentral's name for it is "partial 16S ribosomal RNA". It matches the Rfam family "Bacterial small subunit ribosomal RNA", at positions 331 to 799 of the family's 1533-position model. The record is from RNAcentral.